AAGUCAUGAUGUGGACAUCUCCGAAAUAACUCUCUAAACCUUUCUCAUGUUUCAUAUAAUGAUUCAUCCUCUAGUUGACUAAAACUAGUUAUAUCUAUUCUAAACUU
Molecule: small nucleolar RNA, 107 nt
Organism: Coffea arabica (coffee)
Lineage: Eukaryota; Viridiplantae; Streptophyta; Magnoliopsida; Gentianales; Rubiaceae
Source: RefSeq, a predicted model, not a curated record